AUGAAGUCGGAAUCGCUAGUAAUCGUGGAUCAGAAUGCCACGGUGAAUACGUUCCCGGGCCUUGUACACACCGCCCGUCACACCAUGGGAGUGAGUUGCAAAAGAAGUAGGUAGCUUAACCUUCGGGAGGGCGCUUACCACUUUGUGAUUCAUGACUGGGGUGAAGUCGUAACAAGGUAACCGUAGGGGAACCUGCGGUUGGAUCACCUCCUUACCUUAAAGAAGC
Molecule: ribosomal RNA, 226 nt
Filed under: Escherichia coli
Lineage: Bacteria; Pseudomonadati; Pseudomonadota; Gammaproteobacteria; Enterobacterales; Enterobacteriaceae
Description: partial 16S ribosomal RNA
Rfam family: Bacterial small subunit ribosomal RNA
Source: RNAcentral